UACGUAGGGGGCGAGCGUUGUCCGGAUUCAUUGGGCGUAAAGAGCUCGUAGGCGGUUUGGCAAGUCAGGUGUGAAAUCUCCGGGCUCAACUCGGAGAGGCCACCUGAUACUGCUAUGACUUGAGUCCGGUAGGGGACCAUGGAAUUCCUGGUGUAGCGGUGAAAUGCGCAGAUAUCAGGAGGAACACCAAUUGCGAAGGCAGCUCGCUGGGACGUGACUGACGCUGAGACGCGAAAGCGUGGGGAGCAAACAGG
Molecule: ribosomal RNA, 254 nt
Filed under: uncultured bacterium
Lineage: Bacteria
Description: partial 16S ribosomal RNA
Rfam family: Bacterial small subunit ribosomal RNA
Source: RNAcentral